Melitaea cinxia (Glanville fritillary) is the source of this 483-nucleotide long non-coding RNA. RefSeq lists it as uncharacterized. NCBI's taxonomy places the organism in Eukaryota, Metazoa, Arthropoda, Insecta, Lepidoptera, Nymphalidae. The record is from RefSeq and is a predicted model, not a curated record. The transcript is spliced from 2 exons.
AAAACCAUAUGUAACAGAAAUUGUAGCAUGAAUUUAAAAGAGUGAUAAGUCAGGUCUUAAAGCGGUUAGGUUCCUAAUAUAAGCAAUCACAUUUAAUUACGCGUAAAACAUAAUAAUGAGUGUUAUAUAAUUUUUUGAUCUUUUAAAUCUUCUCAGUACCCCCGACAAAAAUGAAGGGGACCUUAAAAAUUCUUUUAUGGAAGCAUUUUGUAGUGCGUGUGAGAAGAUAUUUUCACUCGGCGAUUGAAAUAUUAUCGACGGUGUUAUUGUUUAUAAUACUAUUUGCUGAUAAGGAUUCUUUGUUGAAAAAAAGAGUUAAUUAUCAGUAUGAAUUAAAUGUGGAACAAUCUAAAUAAAAAGUCAUUACUAUUUUAGUAGAGAAAAUGGGCCUUGGAAAUAUUGUUAUACAGUCUGCUGAAUAAUCCAACAUCUGUUGAUAAAGAAUUCUUAAUGUUUUAUUAAAUAUAUUUUAAGAUAAUAUUA